Molecule: ribosomal RNA, 434 nt
Filed under: uncultured bacterium
Lineage: Bacteria
Description: partial 16S ribosomal RNA
Rfam family: Bacterial small subunit ribosomal RNA
Source: RNAcentral
AGCGAACGCUGGCGACAGGCCUAACACAUGCAAGUCGAACGAACCUUUCGGGGUUAGUGGCGGACGGGUGAGUAACACGUGGGAACGUGCCUUUAAGUUCGGAAUAACUCAGGGAAACUUGUGCUAAUACCGAAUGUGCCCUUCGGGGGAAAGAUUUAUCGCCUUUAGAGCGGCCCGCGUCUGAUUAGCUAGUUGGUUGAGGUAAUGGCUCACCAAGGCGACGAUCAGUAGCUGGUCUGAGAGGAUGAUCAGCCACAUUGGGACUGAGACACGGCCCAAACUCCUACGGGAGGCAGCAGUGGGGAAUCUUGCGCAAUGGGCGAAAGCCUGACGCAGCCAUGCCGCGUGAAUGAUGAAGGUCUUAGGAUUGUAAAAUUCUUUCACCGGGGACGAUAAUGACGGUACCCGGAGAAGAAGCCCCGGCUAACUUCGUG